Molecule: ribosomal RNA, 486 nt
Filed under: uncultured bacterium
Lineage: Bacteria
Description: partial 16S ribosomal RNA
Rfam family: Bacterial small subunit ribosomal RNA
Source: RNAcentral
AUUGAACGCUGGCGGCAUGCCUUACACAUGCAAGUCGAACGGCAGCACGGGUGCUUGCACCUGGUGGCGAGUGGCGAACGGGGGAGUAAUACAUCGGAACAUGUCCUGUAGUGGGGGAUAGCCCGGCGAAAGCCGGAUUAAUACCGCAUCCGAUCAACGGAUGAAAGCGGGGGCACUUCGGGCCCCGCGCUCGCGGGUUGGCCGAUGGCUGAUUAGCUAGUUGGUGGGGUAAAGGCCUACCAAGGCGACGAUCAGUAGCUGGUCUGAGAGGAUGACCAGCCACACUGGAACUGAGACACGGCCCAGACUCCUACGGGAGGCAGCAGUGGGGAAUUUUGGACAAUGGGCGAAAGCCUGAUCCAGCAAUGCCGCGUGUGUGAAGAAGGCCUUCGGGUUGUAAAGCACUUUUGUUCGGAAAGAAAAGCUGGGCGUUAAUACCGUCGUGUUAUGACGGUACCGGAAGAAUAAGCACCGGCUAACUACGUG